RNAcentral lists this transfer RNA (107 nucleotides) under Candidatus Bathyarchaeota archaeon. Its description in RNAcentral is "tRNA-Lys". It matches the Rfam family "tRNA". Rfam says of the family: Transfer RNA (tRNA) molecules are approximately 80 nucleotides in length. Their secondary structure includes four short double-helical elements and three loops (D, anti-codon, and T loops). The record is from RNAcentral. Lineage: Archaea; Thermoproteati; Candidatus Bathyarchaeota.
GGGCCCGUAGCUCAGUCAGGAUAGAGCCUUUGAAAACUUAACACAGCAUCCAAAGCACCGGGCUUUUAACCCGGUGGUCACGGGUUCAAUUCCCGUCGGGCCCGCCA